AAUUCCAGUUUAUCCUGCUGGAGACUGCUGCUAUCAAGAUUCGGAUAAGCCAUGCAAGUCACUCGCAAGAGAGCGAACUGCCGAGUAACGCGUAGCUAACCUGCACUAAAGCUCGGAAUACCUUCGGGAAACUGAGGAUAAUGCCGAAUAGGUGAUGAUUUCUGGAAUGAUUCAUCAUUGAAACGCAAGGCUUUAGAAUGGGGCUGCGUCCUAUCAGGUUGUUGUUGAGGUAAUGGCUCAACAAGCCUAUGACGGGUAGGGGCCUUGAGAGAGGGUGCCCCCGGAAGAACUCUGAGACACUAGUUCUAGCCCUACGGGGUGCAGCAGGCACGAAAAUUCUGCAAUGCACGCAAGUGUGACAGAGGAAUCUUGAGUGUUUCUCUUUCCGAGAAACUUUUGCUAUGUGUAAAAAGCAUAGCGAAUAAGGGCUGGGCAAGACUGGUGCCAGCCGCCGCGGUAAUCCCAGCGGCCCUAGUGGGAGUCACUUUUAUUGGGUCUAAAACAUUCGUAGCCUGCUUUUUAAGUUUCUUGUUAAAUCAUUGCUCUUCAGGCAAUGGCUGCAAGAAAUACUGGAAAGCUAGGGACUGGGAGGCGUGAUGAGUACAUUUAAGGUAGCGGUAAAAUGUUUUAAUCUUAGAUGGACUAACAAAUAGCGAAGGCACGUCACGAGAACAGAUCCGACGGUGAGGAAUGAAGGCCAGGGGCGCAAAAUGGAUUAGAUACCCAUGUAGUCCUGGCUGUAAACACUGCUAACUAAACAUUGUGAUCUCUUCGGGAGAUUGCAGUGCUAGAGCGAAGGCGAGAGUUAGCUACCUGGGGAGUAUAGUCGCAAGACCGAAACUUAAAGGAAUUGGCGGGGGAGCACUACAACGGGUGACGCGUGCGGUUCAAUUAGAUUCUACCCCGUGAACCUCACCAGGAGCGACAGCAGAAUGAAGGUCAGUCUGAAGGGCUUACCUGACACGCUGAGAGGGGUUGCAUGGCCGACGUCAGCCUGUGUCGUGAGAUGAUCUGUUAAAUCAGGUAACAGGCGAGACCUGCGUGUGUUGUUGCUACUCGAAGAGAGAGCACACUACACAGACUGCAAGAGCAAUCUUGAGGAAGGUGCAGGCAACGUUAGGUGAGUACGGCCCGAAUCCCCUGGGCGACACGCGCGCGGCAAUGGUAACAACAAUGAGUUGCAAUGCCGAAAGGCAAAGCUAAUCCCAAAAAUGUUAUCUUAGUCUGAAUUGAGGGUUGCAACCCACCCUCAUGACAAUGGAAUCCGUAGUAAUCGGAUGUUAGCAGCGUCCGGUGAAUAAUGUCCCUGCUCCUUGCACACACCGCCCAUCAAACCAUCCGAGUUAUGUUAAGAUGAAGUCGAGAGAAAGAAUCUUAGCAUAGCAAGGAAGGUUAAGUUGUCACAAGGUAUCCGUAGGGGAACCUGCGGAUGGAUCACCUCCU
This 1443-nucleotide ribosomal RNA is filed under the name Nitrospirota bacterium. RNAcentral's name for it is "bacterial SSU rRNA". It matches the Rfam family "Archaeal small subunit ribosomal RNA". Lineage: Bacteria; Pseudomonadati; Nitrospirota. The record is from RNAcentral.